Molecule: long non-coding RNA, 640 nt
Organism: Conger conger (European conger)
Lineage: Eukaryota; Metazoa; Chordata; Actinopteri; Anguilliformes; Congridae
Exons: 3
Source: RefSeq, a predicted model, not a curated record
GGAAUAAACAGGAAAACGCAGAUGAGGCAAAUGAAGGGGUGAAAAACUUAAUUCAUCGUUAUAUCGCUUCGUGUGAACCAGUCCUGUUUUUCAAAUGCAGAUUACUAUCUAAAGGGGGCAGGUGUCGAUGGCUACUUCCUGCAACACCACGCAGGCCUGCGCUGGGUCCUAAAGCCACACAGUAAUUAGUAAGAUGGGUGUACCUGGGUCCCACUGAUUUCUUCCAGUUUUGAGCAGAUGGCACUGCUGGACAUCUUCUGAUUGAGAAGGGAAGUAAGCAUGAUGUGUCUCAUCUGCUGCACAAUUUUCCUUGGCCGACCACUGCGUCUACAGUCCUCAUCGUUGCCCGUUUCUUUGUGCUUCUUCAACAGAGCUUGGACAGCACAUCUGGAAACCCCUGUCUGCCUUGAAAUUUCUGCCUGGGAGAGACCUUGCUGAUGCAGUAUAUAUCUACCUUGUGUCUUGUUGCCGUGCUCACUCUUGCCAUGGUGUAUGACUUCUGACAUUAAACUGUCUUCAGCAACCUCACCUUGGAAGCAGAGUUUGCCUGUUCCUCACCCAGUUUUAACCCUCCUACACAGCUGUUUCUCUUUCAGUUAAUGAUUGUGUUUCAACCUACAUAUUAAAUUGAUGAUCAUUA